Molecule: long non-coding RNA, 2261 nt
Filed under: Brassica napus (rape)
Lineage: Eukaryota; Viridiplantae; Streptophyta; Magnoliopsida; Brassicales; Brassicaceae
Description: long non-coding RNA (BNAP_LNC003166)
Source: RNAcentral
UUUGGAAACAAAAAAAGAAAAAUGAUUGUACCGAUCCUGCGUAUGUUUUCGGUACGAUCCUCAGCUUUGAAAGUGAGGUCCCGGUUAAGACCAUGACGUACAUUGUCUCCGUCAAGUGUGUAAGUAAGUUUGCCUCUUUCGAACAGAGCUUUACUUAAGGCACAAGCAACAGUGCUUUUCCCUGAGCCGCUGAGACCAGUGAUCCAAAUGACACAACCCUUCUGUUGAAGAAGUUGUUGUCGGUCGCAUCUGCAAAUGGAACUCUCGUGCCACACGAUGUUCUCUGGCUUAUUUUUGUCUCCGUUGAUUCUCUCUUCUUUCACAUUCGUCUCUACCAAGAAAAACAGAACAACAAUUGUGACAUUUUCAGACAAAACAUCUUAGGUUUAGCAAUUUGAGGAGAGUCUUUAAAGUGAAAGAAUACCUGAAAGGGCGGGAAAAUCGGCGGUGAGGGAAGCUUGAGCAGAGACAUUAACGGCGGAGAUCGGAUGUAAAGAAGCAGACUUCGCGACUAGUUUUGGCUUAUCUGCAGCAUAUGAUGACGUUGGGAGCCUGAGGAAACCGUCACUUAGAGGCAGUCGCUGAGAACCGACGUCGAGACCUGGAAGAGAGCAGAUGAUGGACGGUCGCGAUGCUCUGAUUGCUAAUCCUUCCAUUUGAACUUUUUAUUACUGAAACUUGCAGAUCCCAGACGGUGUUGGGGUUAACAGUUUCUGUAGUUCUGACAAAAUCAAUGUACGAAACAAAUCUGCUUAUAUAAAUUAUAUACAAGAAAGAUGGAUUAUUUGAAAAAAAUAUAUAGAGGGAGAAGUAGAGUUAAAGAGGAACGGGCAAAGGAAGAAAACUGGUGAGGAGAUUAGUGGUACCAACAAUAAAUUCGUCCACAAUAAACACAUGGACAUAUUCCAUCAUAAGAAAAUGAAAAAAAUAAUAUUCAGUAUUAGAACUAAUUAAUUUACAAAUUAGUUUAAAAAAAAUACUCUAUCUGUUCCUAAAAAUAUGAUGUUUUACAGAAUUGAUGUUCCAUUUAUUAAUACACAUUAUACAACUUAAUCGAUAACAUUAAUCAAAAUACAGCUCUUAAUUAACUAACUAAUUGCUAUUAGAAAUAUAAAUAAUAUUUGUUGUCCCUUUCUCUCGGUCCGAGGUAAACAUAGAUGCAAUUCAAGAACAAAUGAUAGUAUGACGAAGAAAGACGUACGACGUUGUAUCAAGUCUCAAGCUUCUAAGGGAACCAGCCAUUUAACCAUUUAUAAAACCUAAUUAAAUUCAACAAAUUGCGGGGUUUUUUUUUUGUCUUUGAUUUUUUAGAGUUGACUUAUCCCUCAAGGUACCCUUUGUUUUGCAAGUAGGAGAUGAUAUGUUCAGCCAUCUGACGUGGUGAACAAGAAUCGUCAUCUCCCGUGUGUUUCAGAACAACCUGUAAAAAAUAUACGUAGAUACAUCAAUACUAUUUUAGAAAUUUACGUAUCAAAUUCUUCGACUACAUCACGGAGAAUAAAUAUUACGAACCUCGCAGUUCAGUGGCGCCUCGUAAGGAUCAUCGAUUCCAGUAAAGCCUGAAUCAAGAAAAAAAAUCAGUAUUUAUCUUUUACUACUACUACUACUACAAUCUCAAAACCACAUCCAUUUUAUACCUAACAGCAAGUAUUUAAUAAUGUUAUUAUUCCCUCCGUUUGAAAUGUAAUACCUUUGAUUUUGCCGGCACGUGCGAGCUUGUACAACCCCUUUGGAUCUCUUGACUCGCACACAGACAGAGGAACAUCCAUGAAAACCUAACAACAAUUUAAUCAUACGUAAUAUGAUCAAUAUACUAUAUAUAUCGUCUAUUUUAUGAAAUUAAAUGAAUAAAAAUAAAAAAGGAUCGGACGAUAAGCACCUCCACGAAAUCUCCCUCGGGUAACAACGACCGGCACUCAUCUCUGUCUCUCCGGUAAGGAGAAAUCAAACUUGCUAUACAAAUGACGCCAACGUCAGCAAACAGCUUUGCCACCUCACCUGAAGUUCAAUAUCAUUCCUUCAACCAUGAUCAAUUAGUUAUUGAUAAUUUUUGGAAACAAAAAUUGAAAAAUGAUUGUACCGAUCCUGCGUAUGUUUUCGGUACGAUCCUCAGCUUUGAAAGUGAGGUCCCGGUUAAGACCAUGACGUACAUUGUCUCCGUCAAGUGUGUAAGUAAGUUUGCCUCUUUCGAACAGAGCUUUACUUAAGGCACAAGCAACAGUGCUUUUCCCUGAGCCGCUGAGACCAGUGAUCCAAAUGAC